AACGAACGCUGGCGGCAUGCCUAACACAUGCAAGUCGAACGAGACCUUCGGUCUAGUGGCGCACGGGUGCGUAACGCGUGGGAAUCUGCCCUUAGGUUCGGAAUAACUCAGGGAAACUUGAGCUAAUACCGGAUAAUGACGUAAGUCCAAAGAUUUAUCGCCUAGGGAUGAGCCCGCGUAGGAUUAGCUAGUUGGUGAGGUAAAAGACUCACCAAGGCGACGAUCCUUAGCUGGUCUGAGAGGAUGAUCAGCCACACUGGGACUGAGACACGGCCCAGACUCCUACGGGAGGCAGCAGUGGGGAAUCUUGCGCAAUGGGCGGAAGCCUGACGCAGCAACGCCGCGUGCGGGAGGAAGGCC
This 360-nucleotide ribosomal RNA is filed under the name uncultured bacterium. RNAcentral describes it as "bacterial SSU rRNA". It matches the Rfam family "Bacterial small subunit ribosomal RNA", at positions 29 to 416 of the family's 1533-position model. The record is from RNAcentral.